Molecule: ribosomal RNA, 513 nt
Filed under: fungal sp. NY6753c
Lineage: Eukaryota; Fungi
Description: eukaryotic LSU rRNA
Rfam family: 5.8S ribosomal RNA (bases 166-319)
Source: RNAcentral
GAAGGAUCAUUACCUUUUAUCGGGGAGCUGUAGUUUACUAUAUGCUCCUGUCUGGACCCAUGUCUAUUGCGUACUUAUGUUUCCUCGGCGGACUUGUUCCGCCGAUUGGACUCUUCAAAACCUUUUGUAAUUGUAAUCAGCGUCUGAGAAAUAUUUAAUAUUUACAACUUUCAACAACGGAUCUCUUGGUUCUGGCAUCGAUGAAGAACGCAGCGAAAUGCGAUAAGUAGUGUGAAUUGCAGAAUUCAGUGAAUCAUCGAAUCUUUGAACGCACAUUGCGCCCCUUGGUAUUCCAUGGGGCAUGCCUGUUCGAGCGUCAUUUGUACCCUCAAGCUCUGCUUGGUGUUGGGUGUUUGUCAUAUCCUUUGCGGUUUGACUCGCCUUAAAUUUAUUGGCAGCCGGCGUAUUGGCCUAGGAGCGCAGCACAUUUUGCGAUCGUAGCCUGUAUACUAGCAUCCAUUAAGCCUCAAUUAUCACUUUUGACCUCGGAUCAGGUAGGGAUACCCGCUGAAC